GUUACUUAAGCAUAUGGAGAAUGCCUUGACUCGUAUGAGCGAUGAAGGACGUAGCAGGCUGCGAUAAGCCUCGGGGAGCUGCCAAGCAAGCUUUGAUCCGUGGAUUUCCGAAUGGGGAAACCCUCCUGUUUUUUAGCAGGAAUUAUUAUUUGAAUUCAUAGAAUAAUAAAGUCAACCUAGUGAACUGAAACAUCUUAGUAGCUAGAGGAAUAUAAAUCAAUAGAGAUUCCGUCAGUAGUGGCGAGCGAAAGCGGAACAGUCUAAACCAGUGCUACGCAUUGGAAAUUUCAAAUUCCAAAUUCCAAAAACCAAAUAAAUUCCAAAAACCAAAAUUCUAAAUUUCAAAACAUGUAUUUGUUUGUGAUUUAUUAUUUUGAGUAUUGUGAUUUGUUUGGAAAUUGUGAUUUGUUAUUUGGUUAUUCCACUGCGUGGCAUUGGGGUUGCGAGGUAGUCGUACUCGUUUGAUCGUGGUUGCUUUAUAUUUUUUAGUAGAACACUUUGGGAAGAGUGGCCAUAGAAGGUAACAGCCCUGUAUACGAAAAAAAAUAUAAAGUGAUGAGACUAUCCUCAAGUAGGACGGGACCGGAGAAAUCCUGUCUGAAUCAGGGAGCACUAACUUCCAAGACUAAAUAUUAUACGAGAUCGAUAGUGAACAAGUACCGUGAGGGAAAGGUGAAAAGCAUCCCGAUGAGGGAGAUGAAAUAGUAUCUGAAACCAUAUGUUAACAAGGAGUCAGAGCGGUGUUUACACCGCAAUGGCGUACUUUUUGUAGAACGGGCCAACGAGUUAAUUUUAUACGGCUUGCAUAAACCACUUUGUGGGAUAUGCGUAGUGAAAGCGAGGCUUAACCGCCGAAUUUGUCGUAUGAAUUAGACCCGAAGCCAGGCGAGCUACGCAUGAGCAGGGUGAACCCCAAGUAACAUUGGGGGGAGGCCCGAACCCACUGAUCGUUCAACUUCAGGGGAUGACUUGUGCGUAGGGGAGAAAUUCCAAUCGAGCUUGGCGAUAGCUGGUUCUCUCCGAAAUAGCUUUAGGGCUAGCGUUCGGGAAAUGAGCAAGGGAGGUAGAGCUACUGGAUGAGUUUUCGCGGUUCGCCGUAGGACACUCAACCAAACUCCGAAUUCUUUUGUUUCUUAUCCGGGCAGUUAGAACCUCGGCGCUAAGGUCGAGGCUCAAAAGGGAAAAAGCCCAGAUCAUAAUCUAAGGUCCCAAAAUUCAUGUUAAGUGGUAAAGGAAGUGAAAUUUCUGAAACACCUAGUAGGUUGGCUUAGAAGCAGCCAUCCUUUAAAGAGUGCGUAAUAGCUCACUAGCUUAGAGAUUUCGCGUCGAAGAUGUAACGGGGCUAAACAUGAUACCGAAGAUAUGGAAUCUGUGUGUAACACAGAAAUUCUAAAUUCCAAAUUCCAAAAACCAAAUAAAUUCCAAAAACCAAAAUUCUAAAUUUCAAAACAUGUAUUUGUUUGUGAUUUAUUAUUUUGAAUAUUGAAUUUUGUUUGGAAAUUGUGAUUUGUUAUUUGGUGUUUCCGUGUUGCACACGGAUUGGUAGGAGAGCGUUCUUUAUGCGAUGAAGUCAAAGGCGUGAGCCAUGGUGGAGCGUAGAGAAGUGAGAAUGUUGGCAUGAGUAACCGCAAUGUGAGUGAGAUCCUCACACCCCGAAAAUCCAAGGUUUCCUGGGCAAUGGCAAUCAUCCCAGGGUUAGUCGAUCCUAAGGCAAGGCCGAAAGGCGUAGUCGAUGGACACACGGUUAAUAUUCCGUGACUACAACAAUAUUCGAUGGAGUGACGCAUUUUAGUAACUACUGCACAUAAUUGGAUUUGUGUAGGGUACUUGAGGACGUAUGGUAGGAAAAUCCGCCAUGCAUUAAGUCCAAGAGUAUUCUGGAAGCCGCUCUUCGGAGUGGCGCACAGUAGCGAGCAGAGUGCCAGGAAAAGCUUCUAAGGUUCGUAUUGUUGUAAUCGUACCAAAACCGACACAGGUAGAUAGGGCGAGUAGCCCAAGGGGAACGAGAGAACCUUCGUUAAGGAACUCGGCAAAAAAUCUAGACGUAAGUUAGCGAGAUGUCUUCCCAGUGCCCCACAUUGGAAAUUUCAAAUUCUAAAUUCCAAAAACCAAAUAAAUUCCAAAAACCAAAAUUCUAAAUUUCAAAACAUGUAUUUGUUUGUGAUUUAUUAUUUUGAAUAUUGAAUUUUGUUUGGAAAUUGUGAUUUGUUAUUUGGUUAUUCCACUGUGUGGCAUUGGGCGCAGCUAAAGAUUCCCUAGCGACUGUUUAUCUAAAACACAGGUCUCUGCAAAAGCGCAAGCUGAAGUAUAGGGGCUGACACCUGACCAGUGCUGGAACGUUAACGGAAGCGGUUCACGCCAAUUCCCGAAGCGCCAGUGAACGUCGGCGAUAACUAUAAUCGUCCUAAGGUUCUGAUUCUACGUAGUAGUGGAAUUAGAAUAACUGGGACGAUUAGAGUAAAGAUAAACAAGCUAUGAUAAAGAAAAAUGCAAAGGAAAAGUAAACGCCUAUCCCGAUUAAUUAAUUUUUUUCGGGAUGUAAAUCAGCUAUAUGCUGGAAAGUCUGGAGUAUCUGAAGCUACUCGAUUAUAAAUUUAUUUUUUAAUCAGUAAAAAUGCUAUCAGUGCAGAUAAUCAGCAGGAAAGAUUCUAAUUUAUUAGAAAAUCCUCAGAGACUAACAUGCUGA
This 2686-nucleotide ribosomal RNA is filed under the name Candidatus Moraniibacteriota bacterium. Its description in RNAcentral is "partial 23S ribosomal RNA". It matches the Rfam family "Bacterial large subunit ribosomal RNA", at positions 15 to 2044 of the family's 2925-position model. Lineage: Bacteria; Candidatus Moraniibacteriota. The record is from RNAcentral.